Molecule: ribosomal RNA, 207 nt
Filed under: uncultured bacterium
Lineage: Bacteria
Description: partial 16S ribosomal RNA
Rfam family: Bacterial small subunit ribosomal RNA
Source: RNAcentral
CUCGUAGGCGGUUCGUCGCGUCCGGUGUGAAAGUCCAUCGCUUAACGGUGGAUCCGCGCCGGGUACGGGCGGGCUUGAGUGCGGUAGGGGAGGCUGGAAUUCCCGGUGUAACGGUGGAAUGUGUAGAUAUCGGGAAGAACACCAAUGGCGAAGGCAGGUCUCUGGGCCGUCACUGACGCUGAGGAGCGAAAGCGUGGGGAGCGAACA